This 73-nucleotide transfer RNA is filed under the name Shigella flexneri. RNAcentral's name for it is "tRNA-OTHER". It matches the Rfam family "tRNA". Rfam says of the family: Transfer RNA (tRNA) molecules are approximately 80 nucleotides in length. Their secondary structure includes four short double-helical elements and three loops (D, anti-codon, and T loops). The record is from RNAcentral. Lineage: Bacteria; Pseudomonadati; Pseudomonadota; Gammaproteobacteria; Enterobacterales; Enterobacteriaceae.
GGCCCUUUAGCUCAGUGGUUAGAGCAGGCGACUCAUAACGCCUGGUCGCUGGCAAGUCCAGCAAGGGCCACCA